GGACUACCGGGGUAUCUAAUCCUGUUUGCUCCCCACGCUUUCGCGCCUCAGCGUCAGUCUCAGGCCAGCGAGCUGCCUUCGCCAUGGGUGUUCCGAUCGAUAUCUACGCAUUUCACCGCUACACCGACCAUUCCACUCGCCUCUCCCAAACUCAAGGUCGCCAGUAUGAAAGGCAGUGUCCGGGUUGAGCCCGAACCUUUCACCCCUCACUUAACAACCCGCCUACGCGCGCUUUACGCCCAGUAACUUCGGACAACGCUCGCCCCCUACGUAUUACCGCGGCUGCUGGCAC
This 292-nucleotide ribosomal RNA is filed under the name uncultured bacterium. Its description in RNAcentral is "partial 16S ribosomal RNA". The record is from RNAcentral.